RNAcentral lists this ribosomal RNA (301 nucleotides) under uncultured bacterium. RNAcentral describes it as "partial 16S ribosomal RNA". It matches the Rfam family "Bacterial small subunit ribosomal RNA", at positions 509 to 809 of the family's 1533-position model. The record is from RNAcentral.
CAGUCGCCGCGGUAACACCGAGGGUGCGAGCGUUAAUCGGAUUUACUGGGCGUAAAGCGUGCGUAGGCGGCUUUUUAAGUCGGAUGUGAAAUCCCUGAGCUUAACUUAGGAAUUGCAUUCGAUACUGGGAAGCUAGAGUAUGGGAGAGGAUGGUAGAAUUCCAGGUGUAGCGGUGAAAUGCGUAGAGAUCUGGAGGAAUACCGAUGGCGAAGGCAGCCAUCUGGCCUAAUACUGACGCUGAGGUACGAAAGCAUGGGGAGCAAACAGGAUUAGAUACCCGGGUAGUCCCUGUCUCUUAUAU